This 338-nucleotide long non-coding RNA is filed under the name Homo sapiens (human). RNAcentral's name for it is "HSALNT0168729". The record is from RNAcentral. Lineage: Eukaryota; Metazoa; Chordata; Mammalia; Primates; Hominidae.
AGACCUUUUAGGUUAGGCUCCUCUCCUUUCUGUUGCCCUUCCUAAUUUGACUUCAUCCCUUGUUUUACCCAGGUGAGGACAUGCUCUUGGUUAACUGUCAGUGUCAUGGGUUUUUCCUAGUUCUUGUGACAUCUCUGGACUACAGCAGGCUGCCCCCUCUGGCGCCACCAUCUCUGUGCUCUGGUUUCUGGAAGCCUCCUUGACCCGCCCCUUACAUAUCCUGGGGGGAGUGUUCCAUCAGGGGUCCCAGGUGGCUUGUUGACGCCACCUUUGCCCCUGACCCCCACUUCGCUUUCACUCCCCAGGUGUCUCUGCUUUCAGGCCACACCCCACCCCCA